RNAcentral lists this ribosomal RNA (253 nucleotides) under Anaerobutyricum hallii. RNAcentral describes it as "partial 16S ribosomal RNA". It matches the Rfam family "Bacterial small subunit ribosomal RNA", at positions 524 to 776 of the family's 1533-position model. Lineage: Bacteria; Bacillati; Bacillota; Clostridia; Lachnospirales; Lachnospiraceae. The record is from RNAcentral.
UACGUAUGGAGCAAGCGUUAUCCGGAUUUACUGGGUGUAAAGGGUGCGUAGGUGGCAGUGCAAGUCAGAUGUGAAAGGCUGGGGCUCAACCCCGGAGCUGCAUUUGAAACUGCUCGGCUAGAGUACAGGAGAGGCAGGCGGAAUUCCUAGUGUAGCGGUGAAAUGCGUAGAUAUUAGGAGGAACACCAGUGGCGAAGGCGGCCUGCUGGACUGUUACUGACACUGAGGCACGAAAGCGUGGGGAGCAAACAGG